UACGUAGGGUGCGAGCGUUAAUCGGAAUUACUGGGCGUAAAGCGCACGUAGGCGGCUUCUUAAGUCAGGGGUGAAAUCCUGGAGCUCAACUCCAGAACUGCCCUUGAUACUGAGGAGCUCGAGUCCGGAAGAGGUGAGUGGAACUGCGAGUGUAGAGGUGAAAUUCGUAGAUAUUCGCAAGAACACCAGUGGCGAAGGCGGCAUCCUGGACCGACAUUGACGCUGAACGGCGAAAGCUAGGGGAGCAAACGGG
RNAcentral lists this ribosomal RNA (253 nucleotides) under uncultured bacterium. RNAcentral's name for it is "partial 16S ribosomal RNA". It matches the Rfam family "Bacterial small subunit ribosomal RNA", at positions 524 to 776 of the family's 1533-position model. The record is from RNAcentral.